Molecule: ribosomal RNA, 468 nt
Filed under: uncultured bacterium
Lineage: Bacteria
Description: partial 16S ribosomal RNA
Rfam family: Bacterial small subunit ribosomal RNA
Source: RNAcentral
GACGAACGCUGGCGGCGUGCUUAACACAUGCAAGUCGAACGGAAAGGCCCUGCUUUUGUGGGGUGCUCGAGUGGCGAACGGGUGAGUAACACGUGAGUAACCUGCCCUUGACUUUGGGAUAACUUCAGGAAACUGGGGCUAAUACCGGAUAGGAGCUCCUGCUGCAUGGUGGGGGUUGGAAAGUUUCGGCGGUUGGGGAUGGACUCGCGGCUUAUCAGCUUGUUGGUGGGGUAGUGGCUUACCAAGGCUUUGACGGGUAGCCGGCCUGAGAGGGUGACCGGCCACAUUGGGACUGAGGUACGGCCCAGACUCCUACGGGAGGCAGCAGUGGGGAAUAUUGCACAAUGGGCGGAAGCCUGAUGCAGCAACGCCGCAUGCGGGAUGACGGCCUUCGGGUUGUAAACCGCUUUCGCCUGUGACGAAGCGUGAGUGACGGUAAUGGGUAAAGAAGCACCGGCUAACUACGUG